This 231-nucleotide small RNA is filed under the name Enterobacteriaceae bacterium strain FGI 57. RNAcentral's name for it is "SgrS RNA". It matches the Rfam family "SgrS RNA". Rfam says of the family: In sugar transport-related sRNA (SgrS) is induced under conditions of glucose phosphate stress in E.coli. This small RNA acts to negatively regulate the translation and stability of the ptsG mRNA, which encodes the major glucose transporter in E. coli. The record is from RNAcentral. Lineage: Bacteria; Pseudomonadati; Pseudomonadota; Gammaproteobacteria; Enterobacterales; Enterobacteriaceae.
GAUGAAGCGGGGAGGUGAAUAUGAAGAGGUCAACCACACGUCAGUUUUAUCAGCGCUAUUUUUACGCUACAUGCCAUGUUUCCUGGCUGGCCCGCCAGAUGGCAGGGAUGCGGUUCAAAAUGCUUGAAGAACUGAUGCAGUGGGAGGUUACGCGCUCGACCUCUGAACACUAAAUCGCCAAAUCAUGUGUGACUGAGUAUUUGCCAGCAGGUAUUAUCUGCUGGCUUUUUU